CUCCAGUUAUUCCCCCUCUCCUACAAAUGUGAUCAAUUUGGCAUGGGUAUGCGUACAGUUGGAAUGAGGCGCCAUGGGAAGGAUUCAAAUAUCUGAGAAGUGUGCUAAAUCAAUAGUGCCAAUCGGUUCAGUUUCAGCUUCAAAAACAUUGGGUGAUUGAAAAUGGCAUGCUAUAUUUCUGCAACAAGGCUCCCUAAAUAUUCCCUAUGUUCUAAACUGGAUUCUGACAAGGGUGUACACCCUGCUAUUUGGUCAGAAGUCUGGGAGUUCAUACUUGGUUGUUUGAUCUCGAGAACACCUUUGAUGACCACGGGCAAAUUGGGCGAACCAGAAGGUUUGUACUUGGCUUUAUCAGAAUUAGAAUAUGCAGAACAUGUGUUGGAGAAGUGCCCAUUUGGUUUUAUGAAAUAAUAUUCAGUCAGUUUAAAGUUAUUUCCAUGUUGAUUGCAUUUUGUUGUAGGAACGUGCAAAGAAACUAAUGUUUGAUCAUGUCGUUGACCGGCUCUGUUAUGAUAAUUCUUUGAGAAAGUGGUCACAUUCCACAUGAAGAACCCGUAGUACCAUGUUUUACCAUCUCUAUCGCCACUAUGUUUGGCUUUUGGUUUCUUUUUAUUUUCCUGCUCUGAGUACUCGCCCUCUAAUGUUGUAC
Molecule: long non-coding RNA, 649 nt
Organism: Triticum dicoccoides
Lineage: Eukaryota; Viridiplantae; Streptophyta; Magnoliopsida; Poales; Poaceae
Exons: 3
Source: RefSeq, a predicted model, not a curated record